AGUUACUGCUAUCGGUGUUCGCCUAAGCCAUGCGAGUCAUAUGUUCUUCGUGAACAUGGCGUACUGCUCAGUAACACGUGGAUAACCUGCCCUUGGGUCCGGCAUAACCCCGGGAAACUGGGGAUAAUUCCGGAUAACGCAUAUUUGCUGGAAUGCUUUAUGCGUCAAAUGGAUUCGUCUGCCCAAGGAUGGGUCUGCGGCCUAUCAGGUAGUAGUGGGUGUAAUGUACCUACUAGCCGACAACGGGUACGGGUUGUGAGAGCAAGAGCCCGGAGAUGGAUUCUGAGACAUGAAUCCAGGCCCUACGGGGCGCAGCAGGCGCGAAAACUUUACAAUGCGGGAAACCGUGAUAAGGGGACACCGAGUGCCAGCAUCAUAUGCUGGCUGUCCAGGUGUGUAAAAUACACCUGUUAGCAAGGGCCGGGCAAGACCGGUGCCAGCCGCCGCGGUAACACCGGCGGCCCGAGUGGUGAUCGUGAUUAUUGGGUCUAAAGGGUCCGUAGCCGGUUUGGUCAGUCCUCCGGGAAAUCUGAUAGCUCAACUAUUAGGC
RNAcentral lists this ribosomal RNA (550 nucleotides) under uncultured Methanosaeta sp. RNAcentral's name for it is "bacterial SSU rRNA". It matches the Rfam family "Archaeal small subunit ribosomal RNA", at positions 21 to 571 of the family's 1478-position model. Lineage: Archaea; Methanobacteriati; Methanobacteriota; Methanomicrobia; Methanotrichales; Methanotrichaceae. The record is from RNAcentral.